GCCAUCAUACUCAGUGGCAGAGCACUGGUCUUGUAAACCAGGGUCGUGAGUUCGAUCCUCACUGGUGGCU
Molecule: transfer RNA, 70 nt
Filed under: Trichonephila inaurata madagascariensis
Lineage: Eukaryota; Metazoa; Arthropoda; Arachnida; Araneae; Nephilidae
Rfam family: tRNA
About the family: Transfer RNA (tRNA) molecules are approximately 80 nucleotides in length. Their secondary structure includes four short double-helical elements and three loops (D, anti-codon, and T loops).
Source: Rfam by way of RNAcentral